CGCUUCCCAACCCCGUCUGACUCCUUGCCACCUCUCGUUCGCCCCGAUGAGGUGGCGGGGAAUAAGAGACGGGGCUGGGAAGCG
This 84-nucleotide microRNA precursor is filed under the name Trypanosoma vivax Y486. Lineage: Eukaryota; Euglenozoa; Kinetoplastea; Trypanosomatida; Trypanosomatidae. The record is from RNAcentral.